Oreochromis aureus is the source of this 3311-nucleotide long non-coding RNA. RefSeq lists it as uncharacterized. The transcript has 5 exons. NCBI's taxonomy places the organism in Eukaryota, Metazoa, Chordata, Actinopteri, Cichliformes, Cichlidae. The record is from RefSeq and is a predicted model, not a curated record.
GGAAAGAUGUGAAAAAAAGGGGAAAAGACUACCAUCGUCACAUCUUUCAACAGGAACCUCACUGCCAGGAACGAUGCUAACCCAGCUACUAAUGCUUUUGUCACUUCUCCCGAGAUAGUCACUGCCCUGGCCCUCGCUGGGACCCUCAGCUUCAACCCUGAAAAUGACUACCUGACUGCUCCAAUGGGGAGAAGUUCAAGCUGGAGCCCCCCACUAGCUCCCCUCCAGAGACUUUGACCCAGACCAGGACACCUACCAGCACCUCCCUGCUGAGAGCAGCUCAGUCAAGGUAGAUGUAAAUCCUUCCACUAACCACCUGCAGCUGCUGGAGCCAUUCGACAAGUGGAAUGGAAAAGACCUAGAGGACAUGACAGUCCAAACCAUCACAAUGAAGUGAUCCUUGUAAACCUGAUGGAAUAUCUCAUAAGCUCCAUUUUGACUGAAAACUAUUAACUGUUAACUUCAUAUACUGUGCCCUUCAUCCAUACACAUUAAGGCAAACAGCUAGACACUUCAAUGUACAAAGCUACAGUGUCCAGAUGUUUUUAUAUUUAAAAACAAAAUAUGUGACCAGUAAGUAAGAUUUGUUUGUGGUAGGAAAGGGUGAACUUGAGCCUAAGAAAGAGGGCAGAGACAUUAAAAAUUAGUUUAAAACACAUCUGUUGUUUUAAGAAUUAAUAAUGGAGAAAGGAAUUGUUAAUGGGUUUUUAUAACUGUUAAAUAUUUUUAUUGACUCGCCCUAAUUUCCCCUUCAUCUCUUCUUUCUCUCUUCUGCUGAAAUGCUGUAGGUGAAGGGAAACUGCACCACUGACCACAUCAGUGCCGACAGGCCCUAGCUGAAAUUUCGUGGCCACCUGAACAACAUCUCCAACAAUCUGCUGAUCGGUGCGGUCAAUAUCGAGAACGCCGCCGUCAACAAGAUCAAGAACCAGCUGACUGGAGAGUAUGGUGGGCUGCCAGUUGUGGCUCGCUACUACAAGGCUAACGGAGCGAGCUGGGUGGUAGUUGGUGACGAGAACUAUGGAGAGGGAUCCAGCAGAGAGCACGCUGCCCAAGAGCCACGACACCUGGGAGGACGCGCCAUCAUCAUUAAGAGCUUUGCCAGAAUAAACGAGACUAACCUGAAGAAGCAAGGCCUGCUGCCUCUGAUGUUUGCUGACCCUCAUGACUAUGAUAGAAUUUGCCCAGAUGAUAAGAUUUCAAUCACUGGCCUGAAAUCAUUUGCCCCUGGCAAGGUGAGCAAAAACUCUGCACUAAUGAAACAUUGAUGCAAAGGACGAUCCAGCUCUUCUUUUUCAUUUUCCUUUGCAUUAACAAGACUAUAAUAAUUGUGCAUCUUCCUCCGGCCCCUAACACCCGUGAUCAAACACAGUGAGGGCAGCCAGGAGUCCAUCUCUCUAAACCACACCUUUAGCGACACACAGAUUGAAUGGUUCAAGGCUGGCUCCACCCUCAAUAUGGUAAAGGCGCUCCAGUAACCUUAAGGGGGGGGAGCUGUUGGGGAGGGAGGUGGCUUGUGGGCUUAAAAAAAAUGUGUAGCUGGAGAGGGGUCUUUGCAAACAGGGAAAGACGAUGUGAAAGAGAGAACAGUCACUCACAUGGGCUCAAACACACAGACAGGAUUACAGUGCGAGCCGUCCCGAUUGACAGGCAGAAUUGCACAAAUGCUCUUAGUUGACGCUUCGCAGCGUCCUCCAAACCUGCAGUACUCCUCAGUUCAGAAUCACAUUUAUUAUUCUCAGUUAUUCGUUGUAGCAUUUAGUUCAUACGCAGGUACUCCUCUCUUCCACUGAAUGUGAGCACUGAUAUCAUUACUGUAUUCCUCUCGAAUGUAGAAGCGUUAUUCAUUAUGCACUGCAUGUAAGAUGCAUGUAUGCAGUCCCUGUCUGUGCAUCAUUUAUUGUUUGUUUCAGCACACUCAGUCCAAACAGCUGCGUUCCUUCAUCCCCAAACCUUGAAGUCAGAAGAGGUGGAGGUUCAAUCUCACACGGUUGUUGGGCGAUUGUCCCAGUCCCAGUUUUUCUGUUUGCCCUCGUCAUCACCCGGACCUGCCGGUUAGUGUGUGAUUUCCUAGCGUAGCUGUAAUGGGAGAUCACUGAGUGUCUUUGAGCCAAAUGUUUCUCAAGGUUGGCGCGAUAGACCUGCUGUGUUCUUGCACAAUCUGGUGUCCAGAUGCUUGUACAAUAGCAUUUUAUAGAGACAGAAAGAAAGAAGUUUAAGUUUAAGGUUGUUUCACCAUUCAGUGUUUCUCCUCUGCAGACCCUCUUGCAAACAUGAGACUCUCUAAGACUAAUCCGCAACUUGUAAUACCACUUGUUAAUACUCACUUUUAAGAUGCAUAUGAAUAAAAGAAGGAGUAAUAUAAAAGUGACAUGCUGAAUGCUGCCUGUCUAAAUGAGAGCCAUUAACUUGCUGCUUGAUUUUUACAGUAAAAAGGGGCUCGUUUGUCUAUUUUCUUAACAUUUAGUCUUGUUCAAAUGAUCUAAAGCUCAUCUAAAAUAAAAGCACCCUCUCUCAUUGCUCUAGCUUUUAUCUGAAGUGUGAGUCCACACAAGGAUGUGAAGCAUUAAGCAGAACAAGGAAAGUGAGUGAAUCAGCUGUGCGAUGCAUGCUUGGAUGAGUUAGUAUGCAUUAGAGUCGGGCCAGCUCCUUAUGUCCUCGACGCCACAGUCGCCCCUUGAUGACUGCUAGGCAGCUAGACUUCUUCACCUCCGCCCAAUAGUUAUGUGACCUACAAAUACAAGCCGAGGAGGGUCACCGCACUGUUCAUACAUUCGUGUUUUAUUCUGAUGGUUAAAAACUACCAAAUGAAAACACCUGAAAAUUAAGAUCUAUCAAUAUUAUAUAGUAUGGAUCAAUAUUAUCUGUGAUUUUGCUUUUUAAAACUAAAUUUCUUCACUUUCACUGAUGACUUGACUUUUCAUAGAUGUCUGUAACCAGAGUUUUAUGCAGCUUUCCAGAAUUCAUCAGGAUCAAAUGCUGAUUAAAGUGACCACCGUCCUUUUUAAACAGCUGCUCGUGAAGCCUAUACUGUGAUGUAAGGUGAUGCUUAUUGUUCACUGGUUACUGCUUUUGAUGUUUAAAUCAUUGCUGUAAAGCAGCAAAUCAGAUGAUAUUGCUCAUGAAGGCAUUGUGUGGUAGCAUGUCUGUUUGGUGCUCAGGUGUGCUCUGUGUGGUCACAGUUAUGCUUCUGAAAUCACUUUCUUUUGUUCAGAUGCAGCGAAUAAAAAUUGAACAUGAACUGAUGUUAUUUCAUAAUGCCGAUUCUCCUCUCAUUAAACUUGAUUUUGUUAAAGAAAACAGUGGAAAUC